This 424-nucleotide ribosomal RNA is filed under the name uncultured bacterium. RNAcentral describes it as "bacterial SSU rRNA". It matches the Rfam family "Bacterial small subunit ribosomal RNA", at positions 355 to 775 of the family's 1533-position model. The record is from RNAcentral.
UGGGGAAUAUUGGACAAUGGGCGCAAGCCUGAUCCAGCAAUGCCGCGUGAGUGAUGAAGGCCUUCGGGUUGUAAAGCUCUGUCGGGAGGGACGAAAAAGCGCGGGUAACGCCGUGACUUGACGGUACCUCCAAAGGAAGCACCGGCUAACUCUGUGCCAGCAGCCGCGGUAAUACAGAGGGUGCAAGCGUUGUUCGGAAUUACUGGGCGUAAAGCGCGUGUAGGCUGCAAUGUAAGUCGAACGUGAAAGCCCUCAGCUUAACUGAGGAAGUGCGUUUGAUACUGCAUCGCUUGAGUGUCGGAGGGGAUGGCGGAAUUCCCGGUGUAGAGGUGAAAUUCGUAGAUAUCGGGAGGAACACCUGUGGCGAAGGCGGCCAUCUGGACGACGACUGACGCUGAGACGCGAAAGCGUGGGUAGCAAACAG